UACAGAGGGUGCAAGCGUUAAUCGGAAUUACUGGGCGUAAAGAGCGCGCAGGCGGUCGUUCAAGUCGCGUGUGAAAGCCCCCGGCUCAACUGGGGAGGGUCACGCGAUACUGAUCGACUCGAAGGCAGGAGAGGGAAGUGGAAUUCCCGGUGUAGUGGUGAAAUGCGUAGAUAUCGGGAGGAACACCAGUGGCGAAGGCGGUUGCCUGGAGCUUUGCUGACGCUGAUGCGCGAAAGCGUGGGGAGCGAUCCGG
This 253-nucleotide ribosomal RNA is filed under the name uncultured bacterium. Its description in RNAcentral is "partial 16S ribosomal RNA". It matches the Rfam family "Bacterial small subunit ribosomal RNA", at positions 524 to 776 of the family's 1533-position model. The record is from RNAcentral.